Camellia sinensis is the source of this 704-nucleotide long non-coding RNA. RefSeq lists it as uncharacterized. The record is from RefSeq and is a predicted model, not a curated record. Lineage: Eukaryota; Viridiplantae; Streptophyta; Magnoliopsida; Ericales; Theaceae.
GAAGCAUUGUGAGCUCAAAGAAGGAAAGGAAAAAAAAAAGUGAGAGCACUGAGAAGGAGAAGAAAAUCGAGAGAGAGAGAGAGAGAGAGAGAUUUGUGCUGGAAAUCUAACUCAAGAGUCCAAGAAGAAGAAGAAAUAUGGAAGAAAAAGUUAGCUAAGGCAUGGAAUUGAAGGGAAUCAACUAAACUUCUUGAGAUUAAAGUUCAAGGUCACGUGCUAUGGUCCGUCUACUCUUUCUCUGGAGCUAUCUAUGAUCAAGCGCGUAACCAGGCCUAGAGCUUCUGCCUGGACUUUAUCUUGUCAACCAACCUAUGUGCUUCCCAUGGAGGUUCCGAAUAUGUCAAAUGCCGAGGCUAUGUGGUUAAAGUUUAAGUUUUUGGUUAUUCUGUAUAUAGGGCUAAGUCCCUUUUGUCUUCUUUAUAUAUGUGCUGAUGCAUGAUUGAUGUGAUAAUAUAUGUAUAUAAAAAAGAAAAAGUUUAAAUAUUGUCUAUCUCAUGUAAGUCUGCACAACUCAAUGGACGAUGUAUGUUUGUAUUUUGCUUCUGCUAGUCCCUAAUAUUAUGUAUUUGUUUAAGAGGCCUUCGGUAAUCUUAGGAUUACUGGCCGGUCAUGACACUAAACCUAUAGGGGCGGGUUUGGGUCGUGACACGUACCUAAUCGUAUUUCAUAUGGAGAAGGAGAAGGUUUUAACCGUAUUUGAUUGA